UGCAUAUCAAUAAGCGGAGGAAAAGAAACCAACAGGGAUUGCCUCAGUAACGGCGAGUGAAGCGGCAACAGCUCAAAUUUGAAAUCUGGCUCUUUCAGGGUCCGAGUUGUAAUUUGUAGAAGAUGCUUCGGGUGUGGCUCCGGUCUAAGUUCCUUGGAACAGGACGUCAUAGAGGGUGAGAAUCCCGUAUGUGACUGGCUGCCUUCGCCUAUGUGAAGCUCUUUCGACGAGUCGAGUUGUUUGGGAAUGCAGCUCAAAAUGGGUGGUAAAUUUCAUCUAAAGCUAAAUAUUGGCCAGAGACCGAUAGCGCACAAGUAGAGUGAUCGAAAGAUGAAAAGCACUUUGGAAAGAGAGUUAAACAGUACGUGAAAUUGUUGAAAGGGAAGCGCUUGCAACCAGACUUGCACGCGGUUAAUCAUCUGGUGUUCUCACCGGUGCACUUGACCGCGUUCAGGCCAGCAUCGGUUCAGGUGGUGGGAUAAAGGCCUUGGGAAUGUGGC
Molecule: ribosomal RNA, 500 nt
Filed under: Helotiales sp. L2-4-NN-2016
Lineage: Eukaryota; Fungi; Ascomycota; Leotiomycetes; Helotiales
Description: eukaryotic LSU rRNA
Rfam family: Eukaryotic large subunit ribosomal RNA
Source: RNAcentral